UACUAGAGUAGCACUCGCAUAUCAAUAAGCGGAGGAAAAGAAACUAACAAGGAUUCCCUUAGUAACGGCGAGUGAAGCGGGAAGAGCUCAAAUUUGAAAUCUUCAAGGUUCUACCUUGACGAAUUGUAGUUUAUAAGAAGUGUUUUCUGUUAGUGGAGUGGCAAAAGUUCUUUGGAAUAGGACAUCAUAGAGGGUGAGAAUCCCGUAUUUGGUCAUUCCUCCUAGCUUUGUGAUACACUUUCAACGAGUCGGAUUGUUUGGGAAUGCAGUCCAAAAUGGGUGGUAAAUUUCAUCUAAAGCUAAAUAUUGGCGAGAGACCGAUAGCGAACAAGUACCGUGAGGGAAAGAUGAAAAGAACUUUGAAAAGAGAGUUAAACAGUACGUGAAAUUGUCAAAAGGGAAGCGUUUGACACCAGUGUUGUUUUUCCGAAAAUCAAUUACGAAUGUUUUGUUUUUGAGGAGUUAUGACUUCAUCGGCUUGCUCCUUUCUUUAUGAAACUUUCUUAAUGCACUUUUCGGUUAACAAGUCAACAUCAAUUUCUUUUGUUGUAAAAGGGUAUGAGGAAGGUGGCUUUCUUUUCGGAGAAAGUGUUUAUAGCCUUGUACUUCUGCAAUCGGAGAGAUUGAGGUCUGCAGCGUAGAUCCUUCGGGGUUAGAUACACUUGUGCUAAGUUAUAGCUUUUCAUAGACAACUUGUUGACUUAUGAUUAGUCUUGUAGCUUACUCGCUUAUGCUUAUUUUACCUACGCUUAGGAUGUUGAAGAUGUAGCACAUCAU
RNAcentral lists this ribosomal RNA (777 nucleotides) under uncultured Neocallimastigales. RNAcentral's name for it is "partial large subunit ribosomal RNA". It matches the Rfam family "Eukaryotic large subunit ribosomal RNA", at positions 20 to 643 of the family's 3401-position model. The record is from RNAcentral. Lineage: Eukaryota; Fungi; Neocallimastigomycota; Neocallimastigomycetes; Neocallimastigales.